GACCGAGCAACGCCGCGUGAACGAUGAAGUAUUUCGGUACGUAAAGUUCUUUUAUUAGGGAAGAAUAAAUGAUGGAAAAAUCAUUCUGACGGUACCUAAUGAAUAAGCCCCGGCUAACUAUGUGCCAGCAGCCGCGGUAAUACAUAGGGGGCAAGCGUUAUCCGGAAUUAUUGGGCGUAAAGGGUGCGUAGGCGGUUAAAUAAGUUUAUGGUCUAAGUGCAAUGCUCAACAUUGUGAUGCUAUAAAAACUGUUUAGCUAGAGUAAGAUAGAGGCAAGUGGAAUUCCAUGUGUAGUGGUAAAAUGCGUAAAUAUAUGGAGGAACACCAGUAGCGAAGGCGGCUUGCUGGGUCUUUACUGACGCUGAGGCACGAAAGCGUGGGGAGCAAACAGGAUUAGAUACCCUGGUAGUCCACGCCGUAAACGAUGAGUACUAAACGUUGGGUAAAACCAGUGUUGAAGUUAACACAUUAAGUACUCCGCCUGAGUAGUACGUACGCAAGUAUGAAACUUAAAGGAAUUGACGGGACUCCGCACAAGCGGUGGAUCAUGUUGUUUAAUUCGAAGGUACCCGAAAAACCUCACCAGGUCUUGACAUGCUUCUGCAAAGCUGUAGAAACACAGUGGAGGUUAUCAGUUGCACAGGUGGUGCAUGGUUGUCGUCAGCUCGUGUCGUGAGAUGUUGGGUUAAGUCCCGCAACGAGCGCAACCCUUAUUGUUAGUUACCAGCACGUAAUGGUGGGGACUUUAGCAAGACUGCCAGUGAUGAAUUGGAGGAAGGUGGGGACGACGUCAAAUCAUCAUGCCCCUUAUGACCUGGGCUACAAACGUGAUACAAUGGCUGUAA
RNAcentral lists this ribosomal RNA (845 nucleotides) under 'Fragaria X ananassa' phytoplasma CR2. Its description in RNAcentral is "bacterial SSU rRNA". It matches the Rfam family "Bacterial small subunit ribosomal RNA", at positions 385 to 1239 of the family's 1533-position model. Lineage: Bacteria; Bacillati; Mycoplasmatota; Mollicutes; Acholeplasmatales; Acholeplasmataceae. The record is from RNAcentral.